Molecule: transfer RNA, 75 nt
Filed under: Lachnospiraceae bacterium
Lineage: Bacteria; Bacillati; Bacillota; Clostridia; Lachnospirales; Lachnospiraceae
Description: tRNA-Ile
Rfam family: tRNA
About the family: Transfer RNA (tRNA) molecules are approximately 80 nucleotides in length.
Source: RNAcentral
UGGGAUGUAACUCAAUGGUAGAGUACCCGUCUUAUACGCGGUUAGUUGAGAGUUCGAAUCUCUCCAUCCCGACUA